Molecule: ribosomal RNA, 496 nt
Filed under: uncultured bacterium
Lineage: Bacteria
Description: partial 16S ribosomal RNA
Rfam family: Bacterial small subunit ribosomal RNA
Source: RNAcentral
AUGAACGCUGGCGGCGUGCCUAAUACAUGCCAGUCGAGCGAACAGACGAGGAGCUUGCUCCUCUGACGUUAGCGGCGGACGGGUGAGUAACACGUGGAUAACCUACCUAUAAGACUGGGAUAACUUCGGGAAACCGGAGCUAAUACCGGAUAAUAUAUUGAACCGCAUGGUUCAAUAGUGAAAGACGGUUUUGCUGUCACUUAUAGAUGGAUCCGCGCCGCAUUAGCUAGUUGGUAAGGUGACGGCUUACCAAGGCAACGAUGCGUAGCCGACCUGAGAGGGUGAUCGGCCACACUGGAACUGAGACACGGUCCAGACUCCUACGGGAGGCAGCAGUAGGGAAUCUUCCGCAAUGGGCGAAAGCCUGACGGAGCAACGCCGCGUGAGUGAUGAAGGUCUUCGGAUCGUAAAACUCUGUUAUUAGGGAAGAACAAAUGUGUAAGUAACUAUGCACGUCUUGACGGUACCUAAUCAGAAAGCCACGGCUAACUACGUG